UCGGGAAACUGCCUGAUGGAGGGGGAUAACUACUGGAAACGGUAGCUAAUACCGCAUAACGUCGCAAGACCAAAGAGGGGGACCUUCGGGCCUCUUGCCAUCGGAUGUGCCCAGAUGGGAUUAGCUAGUAGGUGGGGUAACGGCUCACCUAGGCGACGAUCCCUAGCUGGUCUGAGAGGAUGACCAGCCACACUGGAACUGAGACACGGUCCAG
This 214-nucleotide ribosomal RNA is filed under the name uncultured bacterium. RNAcentral's name for it is "partial 16S ribosomal RNA". It matches the Rfam family "Bacterial small subunit ribosomal RNA", at positions 118 to 334 of the family's 1533-position model. The record is from RNAcentral.